GGCGACGUGGUGAAGUGGCUUAACACGGAGGUCUGCAAAACCUCUAUUCAGCGGUUCGAAUCCGCUCGUCGCCUCCA
This 77-nucleotide transfer RNA is filed under the name Chloroflexi bacterium RBG_16_70_13. Its description in RNAcentral is "tRNA-Cys". It matches the Rfam family "tRNA". Rfam says of the family: Transfer RNA (tRNA) molecules are approximately 80 nucleotides in length. Their secondary structure includes four short double-helical elements and three loops (D, anti-codon, and T loops). Further hydrogen bonds mediate the characteristic L-shaped molecular structure. tRNAs have two regions of fundamental functional importance: the anti-codon, which is responsible for specific mRNA codon recognition, and the 3' end, to which the tRNAs corresponding amino acid is attached (by aminoacyl-tRNA synthetases). tRNAs cope with the degeneracy of the genetic code in two manners: having more than one tRNA (with a specific anti-codon) for a particular amino acid; and 'wobble' base-pairing, i.e. permitting non-standard base-pairing at the 3rd anti-codon position. Lineage: Bacteria; Bacillati; Chloroflexota. The record is from RNAcentral. RNAcentral also lists the same sequence under 6 other names.